Molecule: non-coding RNA, 73 nt
Organism: Rhincodon typus (whale shark)
Lineage: Eukaryota; Metazoa; Chordata; Chondrichthyes; Orectolobiformes; Rhincodontidae
Source: the annotation of a RefSeq genome assembly
GCCCGGCUAGCUCAGGCGGUAGAAUAUGAGACUCCUAAUCUCAGGGUCGUGGGUUCAAUCCCCAUGCUGGACU